GUUUAUUUUCACUAGCUCAGGAUGGGCUGACACAGUAUGUAUGCCGGGGAAGCGAGCACGGCUCCUGGAAGGGGACUCGAAAAUCUGUCAUUCUCGCCAAGAACAAGGUGCUAGGCAUCUGUUUUUGGGCUCCACUUGCCAGGCCUGAGGAAGGCGGAAAAAAUGUUGGGAUUCCACCUGGCACCUCGAGGAGCCAGCGCUGAACCGAAGCCGGAGGCAGAGGCACCUCUGGGGAGUGAGUCGACGGGCCCCCGAGGCGGCAUGACACUGGCCAUGGUGCUGCUGGAGAUGGCCAACAUGCCACUUGGGCACAAACCUUCACACAACUUUAGAGCUUAGAAAGCUUCUCCUCCCCAUGUCAGUGUGGGAGGACUCGGUAGAGAGCCUGAGAAUCUGGUCCAAGGUCAGGCUCCAGUCCUCUUGAGCUGUGAGAUGCUGGGCAAGUCCUCAACACCCUGGUCCUCGGUUCGCUCCUUUUUGCAAUGGGGAGAAUGGGGCCUGCCUUGCCUGCUAUGUGAUUGAAUGAGAAAGUGUGUGCAUAAAUAUUUUAAGGUAUUCAGCUCUGCACAAAUAUAUUUUGCAGAGCUCUGAUUUUUUGGGAGAGGAAACAGAAUAUCAGAGAGAGUCAAUGGCUCAUGUGAGAUCCCAGAUCAGGCCUGGGUCUCUCAACCCCCUGUCAUGAGCUCUUUCUAGCAAUGUAUUCCUUUGGAUUCAACAUUGUGUCUGGAAAGGCAGGGCACUGUCUAAAUGUGCAAUGUACAACUCUAGGUGGAUGAGGAGGGCUGUUCACGUGGCCCAUGCCGUGGAUGAGACCUACCAGGGUGGUGCAGAGCACAGCCUGCACAGCUGGACAGAGAGGCCCUGCUGAAGGCCGCAGCCCGCCAGGUUUUCUCCUAACGGACGUCGUAUUUUCACAAGGAUCAAAUGCUGAAGAGAUGAAGUUCCAACGGUGGAGAUUCAAGAGUGGAGAGCAGAAGUGGGGCUGCAGAGCUACCCAGAUCCCAGGAAAAACUACACGUGAGAAAAGGGGACUGACAGCUUGUAGAAGGCCGACCAGGUGUCAGACCCUUGAAUGUACUCUUUACACAGAUUGACUCUGAUUCUCACAACUGUCAAGGUCAUGCGGUUCUCAAAUGACCCAGAGAGGAUCAGAAAGCCAGCUUGUAUGACGCUGAGCCAGGCUAAUUUCACGGUGCCAUUCCCUCCUCAUCCCAUGCCCAUCAUCAAGCAAAGGGGCCAUCCAGGAAGGUGACUUUGUCACCUGGUAAAGGAACCAGUGCUUUGCUGGAUCACAGCAGAAUCCCUUGCUCUCCCCUGGAGUUGUCCCAGCUGUGGUGCCAGCAUUGGUUCCAGGGACAGGGCUUUUUAUUUAAAUGGCCCGCAUAGGCUGCCGUCUCCCUCCACUCUGUCGGCUCUUUGGGAGCUGGACAACACAUCUCUUAUUUUUGUCUCUCUCAAAACUCUUAGCCGGGUAAUUAUUUUUGGAAUUGAAAUACUUGCUUAAACCCUCAAAUAAUGUAAGGCAGUAUAUGAUUGUGCCAAACCUACACUAAAUAUAGUACAUAAGCAUC
This 1571-nucleotide long non-coding RNA is filed under the name Homo sapiens (human). RNAcentral describes it as "non-protein coding lnc-UACA-4:1". Lineage: Eukaryota; Metazoa; Chordata; Mammalia; Primates; Hominidae. The record is from RNAcentral.